ACUUUUAUUGAUAGCAGGUGGCAGCACCUAGCUGGACUUAGAAGCUAAAUAAGGCCCAGACUGGAUAGUAUUUGUAUGGGCAACAUCCAGGAAUACCAGCGUUGUAAGCA
RNAcentral lists this ribosomal RNA (110 nucleotides) under Notechis scutatus (mainland tiger snake). The record is from RNAcentral. Lineage: Eukaryota; Metazoa; Chordata; Lepidosauria; Squamata; Elapidae.